Erpetoichthys calabaricus (reedfish) is the source of this 186-nucleotide small nuclear RNA. Its record names the gene U2. It matches the Rfam family "U2 spliceosomal RNA". From Rfam's summary of the family: U2 is a small nuclear RNA (snRNA) component of the spliceosome (involved in pre-mRNA splicing). Complementary binding between U2 snRNA (in an area lying towards the 5' end but 3' to hairpin I) and the branchpoint sequence (BPS) of the intron results the bulging out of an unpaired adenosine, on the BPS, which initiates a nucleophilic attack at the intronic 5' splice site, thus starting the first of two transesterification reactions that mediate splicing. The record is from Ensembl. NCBI's taxonomy places the organism in Eukaryota, Metazoa, Chordata, Cladistia, Polypteriformes, Polypteridae.
AGCUCUAAAUUGGCUCAGAUCAAGCAUAGUUUGUGUUUCUUAUCAGUUUAAUAGCUGAUAGGUCCUCUAUGUGGGCACCAAGUAUUAAACUGAUUUUUGGAACAGGGAGAUGGAAUAGGAGGCUUACUCCAUCCACUAAACGUAUCAACCUGGCAUUGCAGUAUCUCUAUGCAUGGUGAACUACAG